Molecule: RNA transcript, 2762 nt
Organism: Solanum pennellii
Lineage: Eukaryota; Viridiplantae; Streptophyta; Magnoliopsida; Solanales; Solanaceae
Gene name: armadillo repeat-containing protein 4
Exons: 3
Source: RefSeq, a predicted model, not a curated record
UGUAAAUUCCACUAAUAUGUUUUUCACUUCAAAUUUGACGGCAUUUUAAUUAAGUUUGGAUCUAAACUACAAAAAGAAGAUAUUACCGACCAUCAAUUCGUUUCUGUUAAUCUUCUUCUUCUUCUUCUUUAUCAUAUUCCUUUUUCCCAUUUGCUCAUUCCUCAAACUCCAAACUGAGUUUUCCACAACGGAUGAUUGCUUUAAUACAAAUCCCAAAGCGCUUAGAGUCUACAGAGUGACCGUAAAAGAGAUCCUAGUUUGUCAUGGCCCAGUCUGGUAGAAAAACCGAAAAACUUGACAUAAAUUGGGAACGAGCAUUUGAUCUUUAUCUAAAUGCAGUCGCAUGUGACAAUGCGCUUUUAUGGGUCCAAGCUACAACUAAGCUUGCCAAAUUGUCGAAACACGCGCCUGAGGAUCUCUUAGCACGCACGAUCCCUGUCCUUGUAGAGCUUCUUAGAAGGAUCCCUUCCACUGAUCUGAGUCCUUCAAUUCAGGAAGCCGCUGCUCACUGCUUGAAAUGUGUUGCUUGUCGAGGGGAAGGUAGAUUGGCUGUACUUAUUGGUGAAUCAGGUGCCAUCCCUUCUCUUUUGAGUUUAUUAUUGCAUGCUGAUGGGAGUUUGCGAAGGGUUUUAUUGAAAUGCCUUAGAAAUAGUGUCACGUUUGCUGCUCAUAACCGUGAGAUUGUAGUUAGACAUGGUGGGUUGGAAAUCAUUCUCAAUUUGUUGAAUACCUGCUCGGAUGAUCUAAAGCGAUACUUACUAGAAAUUCUCAGUGCAUUGGCUCUUCUGAGAGAAGUUAGGAGGACCAUUUUGACUUCCAGGGGUGUUAGUUUUCUUGUUGAAGCUGCUAGACGUGGCAGCAUGGUAUCUAGAUGUAGAGCGGCUCAGGCAAUUGGGUUGCUUGGAUUGGUCAAGAGAGCAAGGCGCACGCUUGUUGACUCGGGCACAUUUUCAGUGCUUCUAGAACUACUUCAGGUUGGGGAUACUUCAACUAAAGUCGUAGCUGCUAAUGCACUUGGUGUGAUCUCAUCUCAUGUUGAUUACAUUAGACCCCUUGCUAAUGCUGGAGCUAUUCCUCUUUACGCUGAUCUUAUGCAAGGAACUGAUCCCAUGGGUAAGGAGAUUGCAGAGGAUGUCUUCUGCAUUCUAGCAGUGGUAGAAGAGAAUGGUGUAGCAAUUGUUGAACACUUGGUUAGAAUCCUUAGAGGAGAUAGUACUGAAUCUAAAGCUGCUGCUGCUGAUGUAUUAUGGGAUCUCGCAGGUUACAAGCAUUUGCCAUCAGUUGUGCGAAAUUCAGGUGCAAUUCCUAUUCUAGUUCAGUUGUUGGAAGACGAAAAUAUUGAUGUCCGGGAGAAGGUUUCUGGAGCUAUCACUCAGUUGAGUUACAAUGAAGCUGAUAGAGCUGCUCUUGCAAAUUCUGGAGCUAUUCCACGAUUAGUAGAUAUGUUACAGGAUGAGUCGGAGGAAAUGAGAGACAAUGCUGCAGAAGCUCUUGUCAAUUUCUCAGAGGAUCCGUCGCUAGGUGAUAGAAUAUCAGAUGUGUUAAAUAGUCCUUCUUUCCAAAAUAUGCAAGAAAGACUGACGCAAAUUCGUGCUUCAGAUGCUUAUUUGGCUGCAUCUCUUAGACAUAUGAACACUGAGCAAUUAACUAUGGACCCUGCUGCUCUUAUCUGACUCCUUAUUCGUCUUGAAUGUUAGAGUUAUCUUUUUGAAAGCAUUUUAUGAUUCUUCCCUUCUUUGAAACUUGUUUGAAUGAUUCAAGCAAAAAGGGAAUAUAUAGUAUUGAUGUUGAAGUUAAAAAUAUCACACAAUGAGGAAUCAUCAUAAAAAUUUAAAGAAGCACAGUUCUCUGACUUCUUCUUCACUUGACUUCAUCGACAAGCUCCAGGCUGGCGUGGCCGACCUUCUUCCUCAAUAAACUGGUAAUACCUGCUGCAUCUACUGCUUCUCCUAUUAUCACUACUUUAUCUUUCUUCUCCCCUUCUAAUGCCACCGAGUUGACUCCUACAUAAAGCAAAGAGCAAAAUGUUAGGUGGGAAAGAAACAAGGUUAAUGUUGUAUGAAAUUCGCAGUACCAGUUGACAUAGCAGCAAUCAUCAAGGCUUUUGAUUGACAUUUCUUGCACUUAUGAUGUACUCUUAUGACAAUUUUUUGCUGCAGUAUUGCAUGAAAACUGUCUCAGCUUAACUAAAAUUGCAUAAUUGUUUAAAAAAGAAGAAAAAAAGAUGAACUUGUAUAGUUGUAGUAGAGUCUUACCAUCAUUGCUUAAGAGUAGAAGCAGAACUAAACUUUGGUUGUUGCUAGUUUCUCAAAGAAUUUGAUAAGUAAUGACAACGAAGCUUAUAUCAUAUGAGUAGUAUAUAUAGAAGCACACUAUAGGUACUCUGCCUUAGCAACACUUUGGACUUUGGAGAGAGAAUGUAAGAAAUGCUCACUCUGUUCACUUUUACUUGUUUAGUAUUUCAAAAAUAAAUUGCCACUUUUAAAAUGUCAAGAAAACUAUCCUUUUUUUUUUCUUCUAUAUGUAAUAUUAUACAUCAAUUAAUAUGAAUAUUGUGGUAAACUAUGCAUAUUAAUCAUUGUUUUUUAAGAGACGUACAAAAUCUGAAGUGGACAAGUAAAGGUAAAUAAAAUAAAUGAAACUGAAAAUUGGCUAUGAAGAUUUGGGCAUGUUCAGCUUUGCGUGUAUUGAAUUCACUUUGCAAGGACAGACUGUCUGGUGGACUUUGCCUUAUUAAUAACACAUAAUAAACCUUUCUGUUA